AGUUGCUCCCCAUCUCAGGCCCCAGGAAUGCAAAGUUUUAGAAAGUAAACAGCAACGGAUAGGAGUCAGAACGUUCCAGAUGGCUGGGCUGCACCGGCUCCCUCGGAAGCUGGAAACUGCCGUGCCGAACAGAGGCUGUGUGAAGGGCCGGAAACACAAGUCGCCGGCAUUUCUGUCUCCUUGUGGGCAUGACGUAGUGGUGCGGGCUGCUGCUUGUGCCAGGUGUCCUCACCCCUGCUUAAAGGGGUGAAGGUAUGAGGGGGCCACGCAGGUCUCCGAGCGUUGGGCAGUGCUGGCUCUGGGUGGCCCAGAGGGGAGGGCGGGGGCUCCAUCUGCGUUUGGGUAAGAGGAGAGACCAGAUCACAGUAUGCAACUCUAUUUUCACAUAGUGACUGUGCGUCAGAGACCCCGAAAACAGCCACCAUUUCCAAAGCUACGUUUCUAUGCAAUGGAGGAAAUUCGCGUGAGCCUGACAGUGCGUCCGCUGUCCGCGGCGGGCCCCUGUUGCAGAUGUGAAAAUCUGAUGCUUGUCCAAGAUCACCCAGCUAGGGAGUGAGGACCUGGGAGCAGCCCUUCUGAAGCAACAGGAAAAGCCAAAGCCAUCUGGAGAGGGUAUCGUGGUCACUUGAGCGGAGGGAGGAGAGGUCAGGCUCCCCGGCAGAGGGGCAGGAGGUGGAAGGGAGCACAGAUGCCUCGUCAAACCCACGGCCUCGGGAGUCGGCGGGAGCCUGGGGGACUCGCUCAUCCACGGCUGUGGGGGCCUUUGCAUGACUCCGGGGGCACAGGGACCGGGAUGGUUCUUUGGGCACUCCUGUCGUGCCUGCCUCUAGGGCUGUGUCAGGAGGUCUGGCCUUAACUCUCACGGAACAGGUACCCUUUGCAGUCUGUCCCCAGAGGGCAUGGUUGUGCCUGGAUGGGUGAACUGGACACGGGGGUCGGGAGAUCAUGCUCGUCCUGGUGCCCGGGAACCCCAAGCAGAGGACCCGGCAUAGAGCUGGGCGGACGGCAGAACCGCACCCUGAGCAGAGAGCCUGAUGUGGGGCUCGAUCCCAGAACCGUGGGAUCAUGACCUGAGCCGAAGGCAGAGGCUUUAACCCACUGAGCCACCCAGGCGCCCCCAAGGUGGACGUUCUUAACGCAGGCUCCAGCCUCACCGCCACCCACGCCUGCGUUUAGCAGCUCUGGCCCAGCUGCAUGCACUUGUACCUGUAGCGGUCGUUAAAGAAAUGAAUUAAGUUAAGUGAAUUGAAUUAAAGAAUUGAAUUGAGUUAACUGAAUUGAGUUAAAGAAAUGAAUCCGAAGAAAGAGAGAGAAAAUCUCUAUGUGUGUAUUUUACAUACGUGUUGGGUGAACUGACGGAGGUGGUGAUGAUGAUGGUGGUGUUGGUGGUGAUGGUGGUGAUGGUGAUGGUGGUUGUGAUGGUGAUGGUGGUGGUGUUGGUGAUGGUGAUGGUGAUGUGAUGGUGGUGAUGGUGGUUGUGAUGGUGAUGGUGGU
Molecule: long non-coding RNA, 1494 nt
Filed under: Mustela putorius furo (domestic ferret)
Lineage: Eukaryota; Metazoa; Chordata; Mammalia; Carnivora; Mustelidae
Description: lncRNA (ENSMPUG00000026413.1)
Source: RNAcentral